AUUUAGAGUAGUCUAUAUAUUAGAGCUAAUUCAAACUCAUUUCUAACUUAGAGCCCUUCUGUUGUCUCUAUUGCAUACUCCAUAAGUCUUUGUACUUACACUGUGGGAUUAUGGCCCCAUGUAAACUCUAGGAAUUGUUUGGUUUAUAGCUCUUAUGUACAUUUUCUUUUCUCAGAUGUCAUUCUUUGCUCUGCCUUAUAGUGUGCAAGUACAAAUUGAUAGUCAUAGAUUCUAUUCAGAUUUCUGGAACUCCUUCUCUGUAUAGCUCUCUUUUCUCAAAUAUUCUGGCAGGCAAGUUACAGCCACCUUGGCCUCUUGAACGGUGAUCUCUGGCUCUUCUACUCAGUGAGACUGCAGUUUGGAUUUCUCCUCCCUGCUCAGUGGUUCAGAAAUUGCCUUUAGGCAGAAAGUUUGGGUGACCAUAGGACUCAGUUCACUUAUUUUCUUUCUUUCUGGGAUCACAGUUGUCUGUUGCCUAUUGUCCAAUGUCUGAAAAUAGUCAUUCCCUGUAUUUUGUUCUUCUCUCUAGUUUUUACAGGGGAAGGAUAAUUUCAAACCCUGUAAUUUUCUUACAGCAGAAAUAGUUUUCCCCUAAUUGUAUUGGAAACUCUCUUCGUAUAGACUAUAUGCUCUUCUAUGACAGGGACCUGGUAAAGGAUCUUUGAAAGAGUUGAAUCAAUCAGUGAAGUCUGGACUUACAUUGAACCACAUAAAAUUGACAAUAUUUGUCCAUUUUCAGUCUAUAUGGUUCAUGUGGUUUAACUUUAUACACUUCUAAUUCGAAUUAGCCAAGGAAAGCAGACUCAAGCAGAGCUGGUUACAUUUUCAGAGCGAGAUCUCAUCCAAGGAUGGAUUUACAUGAACUGUGCAUCUGGAAAUCUUAGGACAAUUUUGUUGACUUCAUUCUUAAACAGAACAAUUUAGCUCUAUUGAUGUGGGCUUUGGGUUUUUAGGUUAAGCUGUUUUUCUUUGAAGAAGAGGACUUUUUCUAUGAUAGAGUUUAUAGUUUAUUUGAGGAGUAUAUCCUUGUUCCUCAUGGGCUCAAAUAAGUUCUUUCCAAGACAAGAGGUUUAUAAGAGGAAACUUCACCCUGAGUCUCAUCAGAGUAAUCAAUCACAGUGGUCCUGUCUCUCUGACCUGGGUUGGGAAUCUUUCAGCAGGAAUGUGGUUGAGCUCUUUGUGAGGAAAACAGCCUCACUAAGGACAUAAGAAUGUUGUCGUUUGUUGAGUUUGUGGUUGUGACUGCCAAGAGGAAUGGAGGAUUUUGAGAACUAUGAUGGUGAUCUCGGAGAGACAGCUUGGAGCGAGAUCUUAACUUUCUGCUCAGGAAUUGAACCUGGGAAGCCUGGAUGAAACUAGAAGUCCUAGUCACUAGAUUAGCUAGAGGCUGAAAGUAGAAUUGGCCAAAUUCUUGCUCCCUGUUGAAAGCAAGAAUGCUUCAGGGAGGCAAAGACUGUGGAAACAGGUAUAAAGUUUAUUGUUGGAGUCAAAGUACAACAUGCAGGAGAGCACACAGACAAGUAGUUUAUUUAAGUCAGAAGCAAAGAAGUAAUACCCACCCUAAAGAGGACUGAGGGUGUGGGCACCCGCCUCAAUGAGAAGCACGUCAGAGAGGUGAUUUAAAUCACUUAUAUAGGACAGUUCUUCCUGGCCUUUGUUUACCUUUGGCCAAUUAUCUUGUUUUAACUCUCACAACUGGCUGGACACAGGACCCUCCCCGAUAUGCAUAUUCAUCUUUUGGCAAAGAUGGAUUCCAGAGCAAAGGGUGGCAGGAUGGUAUCAGGAUUAUCAGGAUUUAUUAUGGCUCGGCACCCCCUCCCUUUCUGACCCCUAGGAGUCUUACUGUGCAUGUGUAAUUGGGGAGAUCUCCUUAACUCCAGGAGUGAUUGAAGUGGUCAUAUGGAAAAUGAAACAAGGCCUAGAAGGAGACAGACUCUUUCUUAACAAACAGGACCAUGUAAGGGAUGAGUUCCCAAAGACAAAGAUAGCCCCAAGGCCACUGACCACAUGGAUCAACAAAACAAACCGUGUCUAUAAAAAAACAUAAAAAAACACAAACACUCCCCUUCUCAUUGCUCUAGCCUCUGCCACAGCCACAGCAACGUGGGAUCUGAGCCGGUCUGCAACCUACACCACAGCUCACGGCAACACUGGAUCCUUAACCCACUGAGCAAGGCCAGGGGUCAAUCCUGUAACCUCAUGGUUCCUGGUCAGAUUUGUUAAUCACUGCACCACAAAGGGAUCGCCUCUUCUUAUCAAUCUUAUCUCUUCUAAGAUUGUUAGACGAUUUGUUCUUCCAACAAUCUUAUCCCUCUACUCCAGCUGAGCUCAGCUCCUUCAGCUGACAUUUUCCUUGAGGUGUCAAAGAGAAACAAGGCCCAGUUUCCUUGGCCUAAUAAGUCCCAGCUGUUCUCAGCCCAGGGGCCCAUCUACCUCCUACCUCAAUGAGGGUGACAAAACUAUAUUGUUGUCUCACCAGUCAAUGCACAAAAUGGAGACAUCAGCUUGGUAAUUGCAUUUAGCAGAGAAAAACUAAAAAAGCCAAAGAUAACUCUCUGUUGAGAUUUUAGUUUCACUAUUUCAUAAUGUAUAAUAGAGAACACUUUGUAUACAUUUAUAAGAAAAGGUAUCUUAUGGAUAACCAGAUUGCUGUGAAUUUCAUUUAGCAUUCUACAGAUAACUGCAUGUAAGGGCAUUCUGUAAGCUUCCUUCUAAAGAUAUUACUGAGAUGACAUAUGGCCUGGUGUGUUUGCAUCCUUGCUUCUCAGAGUGUUAGGCAUUAGUGUUUACUGUCUAAGGUCAGGUAGAGGAUUUUAAUGGGUUGGAUUUUGACCAAAAUUUAUGUUUGGAGUCUUAUCCCUAGGAACUCAACAUGUCACUUUUCUUUUUUUUGGAGAUAGCAUCUUUAUAGAGGUAACCAAGCAAAAGUGAGGUCAUUAAGGUAGGCUCUCAUCCAGCAUGCCUGUUGUCCUGGUAAGAAGGGGAAACUUGGACAAAGGGAUACACAUAGAGGGAAGAUGAUAUGAAGAGACAAGGAGAAGAUGGCCAUUACAAACCAGGUGGAGAGACCUGAAAUGGAGCCUUCCCUCACAGCCCUCAGAAGGAACCAGCCCUGCCAACAACUUCAUCUCAGACUUUAGCCUCAAAAACUGGGAGACAAUAAAUUUCUGUUUUAGGCUGCCCAUUUUCUGGUGCUUUGUAUUAGGAAACUAAUACAAGCAUUUAUUCAGGAGUAUGCAUUAUAAACUGACUUAGGAGGAGGAAGAACCAUGUAAGGAACAGUAAGGUGCCAGGAAAGUUCGUGGACACUGUUAGCUUGGGAGAUAGGGUGGCAAUGGGUUCUUGUUUUUAUCCUGUUUGUGGGUGGAACAGGGCAGGGCAUCAGGCCUAGCCUCAGGUUCACUAAGACCUUACUAAUUUUUGCUCAUCUGAUUGGGAAGGAUUUAGAAGAAGUAGAAUAAGACUUGAAUUUUCUGUGUGAGUUGUGAGGGGAUAUGAUGGCUUCAAAAGAGAUUACUUGGAGUGCAUAGAGGGUUUGGAAGAAAAACACGUAAAUACUCUAAAUUUGGCCAUUGGCAUUUAAGAAACUUAACAUCGUGUUGCGGAAGGGUUAUUUUAUACUCCGCUGAUCUGAAGGAUUCUGAGACGUAUGGAACGUGUAUAAAUCUUACUUUAAUUAAAUGCUUAGGAACGUCUAAAGGUCUACUCUAUUUCUUUGCUCCUUUGUCUCUCGUUCUCUCUGAAUUAUGGGGGUGACAGUGCAGAUUUUUUUGAUCCCUGACUCAUCCUUUUACCUACUUGCUCUGGUGUUUAUAUGAAAAUAUUUCCUGCAGUUGAAAGGGUAACUGUUCUAAUGUUCAAGACGAAGAAGGAGGUCCAAAUGUUAGCUCUCAAACAGUGAGACCUUAUUAAGAGUGGAAGUAAAAAGCCCCCAGACACUCAUUGAGGGAGCACAGGAGGGGCCCCAGGCCUGUCAACAAUCAGUUACAACUGAGGCCCUUCCCACUCCUCUGGCCAGGGUCUAAUUUAAAUCUCAGUUGGCUGGAACUUCUUGAUUUGAUUACACCAGUUCCCAGGCUGUGAGGAGUUAAGCCAAAAAGGUUUUCAUUAAUUUGCCUUCUCCCUAAAGAUUUGAGACUUGCUGUUUCAAAGAAAGCGAGAUACCACAAUGAGCCAACUAUUUGGUGAGAAGUUUCUCCUCUGGGAGAAAGGCGUUUGCUCAGAUUCCAGCCUUUCAAAUGUCAAAUGUUACUCAUCCCUGCUUUGGCUCUUGCAAGCCUGUGUAGUUCCUUCUUUUUUCUUUUAAUUGGAGUAUGUUUUCUUCUACUAGUAGCUCAGGGAACUUUUACUUGCUGUUGGAAAUCUAACCCUGGUACACGAAAAGUAUGACUAAUCCUACUUACUGGAAUUUCAGUGUUUUCAUCAAGGCCGCAGUUUCCAUUUCCAAUUUUACAUAAUAAGGGAAACACACCAACUGGCAAACACUCUUUUUGUCGGUUGGUGUACAUCAAAAUAUCUCCUGUGUUAUAAUUGAAAGGAAAGUUUCAUAAUGGAGAUUUUUUUUUUUUUUUGCAAUUGAAGGAAAACUGUCUGCAAGUAUAUUUAAAGAAAGGGUAGCUCAUGAGAUGAGUACCCAGUUAAGAUGUUUACUCAAUGAAGUAGUUAAACUUUUCAGCUGCUUUUUAAUUGUCUGUACAGCAGGAUAUUAGGUUAUUUUUAGGCAGAAAGAGUGGUAUAUACACUGAGUCAUGGCCAGUGGAAGGAUUUUAGAACAACAUACAAAUGCUCAUGCCAUUAAAAUGACUUAGUUAAGCCAUCAUUGUGAUGGCCAUUGGAAAGAUGAAAGAAUAUCAGCUAACGCAAACCAAAUUUUUGUCUUCAUCGAAGCCAUCAUUUAUUACUUCGUUAUGGAUAUCUGGAAUGCCAU
Molecule: long non-coding RNA, 4927 nt
Filed under: Sus scrofa (pig)
Lineage: Eukaryota; Metazoa; Chordata; Mammalia; Artiodactyla; Suidae
Description: lncRNA (ENSSSCG00000053243.1)
Source: RNAcentral